RNAcentral lists this transfer RNA (73 nucleotides) under Ailuropoda melanoleuca (giant panda). It matches the Rfam family "tRNA". From Rfam's summary of the family: Transfer RNA (tRNA) molecules are approximately 80 nucleotides in length. Their secondary structure includes four short double-helical elements and three loops (D, anti-codon, and T loops). The record is from Rfam by way of RNAcentral. Lineage: Eukaryota; Metazoa; Chordata; Mammalia; Carnivora; Ursidae.
GCCUGGCAGGCUCAGUCAGUAGAGCAUGAGACUUUUGAUCUCAGGGUCAUGAGUUCAAGCCCCACAUUGGGUG